CCUGAAAUGUGGUCAUAUUUUCAGAUGUUUCUCCAAUAGUCAUCUCUUUGGGCAACAGAUUUUCUGAGGCUGUCCAAAAGGAAAUUAUCAUUGCAGGUGUGAGCACCCUACUGUGAAGGAAUGCCGUGUUACAAUGUAGGUCAAGAUUUAACCAACUGUGAAAAACAAACAAACUAUAAAAAUCAUCAUAAGUUCCUGCUGUGAUCUUCUGGAAUGUACAAUCUAAAAGAAGUAUACCUUACUGUUAUUCUUCAAUGCUAAACUACGUGGCCAAAAAGCAAAUCAAUUUGGAGUGGAAAAUGGUCCAUAUGCAUCUCAAUAAAAGCAAUUUUAUCUACUUGUAUAACAGCUUAUACAUUCUCCUAAUGAUGAAACAAAGCAUGUGAGGCAAGGUGGCAUUUGAAAUAGAGUUUAUAACAUGAAUUAUUGGGAGAAUGUAC
Long non-coding RNA from Balaenoptera ricei (Rice's whale), 440 nucleotides. RefSeq lists it as uncharacterized. The record is from RefSeq and is a predicted model, not a curated record. The transcript is spliced from 3 exons. NCBI's taxonomy places the organism in Eukaryota, Metazoa, Chordata, Mammalia, Artiodactyla, Balaenopteridae.